GAAAGAAAUUUGAUAUCAGGCGAUAUUUCUUCUGAUCCAUGGCCCAUUCCAAGGAGGAUCAUUUCUUCUCAGAGUUUCAGCUCUUUAAUAUUUGAUCAUUGUUGGUCUGCCUUACCUUAUGAGGAUGGACAUGUUGAGGUAAGGAGUUCUCUUUCAGGAACUUUAUGUAGAACAUCCCAUCUUCUGCAAGUGCCAUACGCUUCAAAGCAAUGAGGAUCUGAAUGCUGAAUGCAGUGUGGUGCAGUGAUGGUGCUUCCACCUUCUUGGAAUUCCCAUUUGGAGGCAUAUCCAGACUGCUCUGACCAUGACCUAUCUGUGCACGAAAGCAACUAUUCCUCCCAUACCCACAUGUGCCCCAGGAGCUCUCCUUUGCUGUAGAAGGCACUGCUACCAACAAGAGUGGUGCAGGCAGGUUGAGAAUCCAGUGGAUGCGGCUCUGGUGCCAU
Molecule: long non-coding RNA, 446 nt
Filed under: Numida meleagris (helmeted guineafowl)
Lineage: Eukaryota; Metazoa; Chordata; Aves; Galliformes; Numididae
Description: lncRNA (ENSNMEG00000014884.1)
Source: RNAcentral